CCCAGCACACACUCAGAAAACACUAAAGCUCUUCUCCAGCAGAUGGUUAAGACUGCUGAUCCAGCUGACAGGAGAGAAGCAGCGCAGGGGGCAUGACUUACUGUAGCUCUUGGCCCGGGAAGCUGAACACUCAGUACCCUGUACUCCACUAGCCUUGGGCAGCACAGGAGUCUGAUAAAAGGCUGGUAAAAUCAUCACUGAGAAGCCCGUGUGUUCUGACCUUGAGCUGAGGCCGAGUUGCCACAUCGUUCUUGCCGUCUACAGUUGCUGCCACGUGGGAGAAACUGGCUGGAAAGGGCCCCGAGAGCAGGUGCCAGGAGGCGGCACGGGUUUUCACACACUGCAUUCUCACAGCCUUGUCAGAGGACUGUUAGGCAAUCGCCAGAGGUUACGAAGUUGGAACAGCAUUCUCCUCGGAUAGGUCAUUUUUCCUGCAGGGCAGCUUAGAGGCAAAUUUCAUUAAGUAUCAGGUAGCUGAUCCAAAGCAGUAUAAAUAGCGAGGGAUCAUGUGACGAACGCAGAACUGAAUGUGGUCAAAUCCUGGGCUGAGUGCGUGUGAUGUGUUUACUGUCACCAGCACCUGCACGGAGACGUUCACCCAGCAACCGUCUAGGAAAGGUGUUAAGGCACAGAAAUGGAGAUAUUAGGGUUUCGUCUUAGAAACUAAUUUUAUUCCCACUUUGAAAGCUUGCUGACCACACAGUUACCAAGAAAAGGACCUGUGAAUAGGCUAGAUGUGCUUAAGUGUCAUUGAAGAGAAGUAGAGACUGAUUCUUAUAAAACAGGCUAAGUUCAUUCAGAAUGUAACCAGUGGGAACCACACUUGAAUGAGGCUCACUGGGCCACAGACGACUGGUUACGAGAGGCCAUCAAGGUUUCUCAGGCCAGUUGCCUAGACCAGCUGCUUCGUCAGUCCUGUCCCCAUUGGCUGGAGCUGCUGACAUUCCACAAGACAAUCUUGUGUUCUCACAAUGGUGGGAGGAGGCUCUGGGAAGACACGGCGUAACCUGGACGACAAUGGAAAUUGUUGAACGCUCCCACUCAGAGACAGCAAGCUUCCAAGGUGUCCUGGCCCAGUAUGCACUGCAGCUUCCUGGCUCCCUGGACCAAGACCAAAAGGGCCACAGGAGUUCAGAGGCCAGAGCGACCACGAAGGGCUGAUGCCGUCAAGAGGUGCCUCCCAGAGGGUGUGGGGCGUGGGUGGGGCAUGGCUUUCCCCAGACUCACCUCACUCCCCCGGCUGUUCACUCCUUUCCCAAUAGUCACUCUCCUUUUUUUUAAAAUUAGUAAAAUGACCCCCAAAUGGCAAUGUGCCUGGUUAAAGACUACAUUUCCCAGCCUCCAUGAGGUCUAAGGAGAUGUUAUUGUGUGUACAGUGUAGCCAGAUAAAAUAUGGUCUGCCUAGUUAAUUUUUAAUUUCAGAUAAACAAAUAAUUUUUAAUACAAGUAUGUCCCAUCUAACAUAUUAGUAUUUUUAUUUGCCAAAUCUGGCAACCCUAUGGGUGGAACUUCUGGAAACGAGGGACGUGCUCUCCCUGCCCCCUCUCUUUUCCUUCCUGGGACAUGGAUGGAAUAGCUGGGACUUCAGCAACCAUUUUGGAUCCUGAGGUUAGAUGUCAGAAGAGGAGGACAGAAAACCUGGGUCCCUAAUGACCACACACCUUCUGACUUUAUGUGUGAGAUGAAAGCACUGAUUUGCUUUAGCCACGAAUACCUGUUAUUUGUACCCAAUUGCUAUUCCUAACUGGUAUAGCCGUAAUAAAAUGUGCUCUGUUAUUUUUGCCAUUAACGCUGCCAUUGUUGCCUUUGCCUCUUAAUAACAUAAACCAUUAGUUUUUACUUACUAUAUAUUUUAAGGACCCCAAGAGGGAAUGGAUUGUAUUCCCUACACCCUUUAAAAAUGACAGCUCU
Molecule: long non-coding RNA, 1911 nt
Organism: Artibeus jamaicensis (Jamaican fruit-eating bat)
Lineage: Eukaryota; Metazoa; Chordata; Mammalia; Chiroptera; Phyllostomidae
Exons: 4
Source: RefSeq, a predicted model, not a curated record